GCCCGAGUGGUGAAAUUGGCAAACGCGCACGACUCAAAAUCGUGUGGGAGCAAUCCCUUGAGGGUUCAAUUACCUCCUCGGGCA
RNAcentral lists this transfer RNA (84 nucleotides) under Candidatus Falkowiibacteriota bacterium. Its description in RNAcentral is "tRNA-Leu". It matches the Rfam family "tRNA". From Rfam's summary of the family: Transfer RNA (tRNA) molecules are approximately 80 nucleotides in length. Their secondary structure includes four short double-helical elements and three loops (D, anti-codon, and T loops). The record is from RNAcentral. Lineage: Bacteria; Candidatus Falkowiibacteriota.